CCAGACUCCUACGGGAGGCAGCAGUGGGGAAUAUUGCACAAUGGGGGAAACCCUGAUGCAGCAACGCCGCGUGAGUGAAGAAGUAUUUCGAUAUGUAAAGCUCUAUCAGCAGGGAAGAAGAUGACGGUACCUGAGUAAGAAGCCCCGGCUAACUACGUGCCAGCAGCCGCGGUAAUACGUAGGGGGCAAGCGUUAUCCGGAUUUACUGGGUGUAAAGGGAGCGUAGACGGCAGCACAAGUCUGGAGUGAAAUCCCGGGGCUUAACCCCGGAACUGCUUUGGAAACUGUGCGGCUGGAGUGCAGGAGGGGUAAGCGGAAUUCCUAGUGUAGCGGUGAAAUGCGUAGAUAUUAGGAGGAACACCGGUGGCGAAGGCGGCUUACUGGACUGUAACUGACGUUGAGGCUCGAAAGCGUGGGGAGCAAACAGGAUUAGAUACCCUUGUAA
Molecule: ribosomal RNA, 445 nt
Filed under: uncultured bacterium
Lineage: Bacteria
Description: bacterial SSU rRNA
Rfam family: Bacterial small subunit ribosomal RNA
Source: RNAcentral